UGGAUNUCGAGNGGGACAGAUGGNNACUUGCUCCCUGAUGUUAGCGGCGGACGGGUGAGUAACACGUGGGUAACCUGCCUGUAAGACUGGGAUAACUCCGGGAAACCGGGGCUAAUACCGGAUGCUUGAUUGAACCGCAUGGUUCAAUUAUAAAAGGUGGCUUUUAGCUACCACUUACAGAUGGACCCGCGGCGCAUUAGCUAGUUGGUGAGGUAACGGCUCACCAAGGCAACGAUGCGUAGCCGACCUGAGAGGGUGAUCGGCCACACUGGGACUGAGACACGGCCCAGACUCCUACGGGAGGCAGCAGUAGGGAAUCUUCCGCAAUGGACGAAAGUCUGACGGAGCAACGCCGCGUGAGUGAUGAAGGUUUUCGGAUCGUAAAACUCUGUUGUUAGGGAAGAACAAGUACCGUUCGAAUAGGGCGGUACCUUGACGGUACCUAACCAGAAAGCCACGGCUAACUACGUGCCAGCAGCCGCGGUAAUACGUAGGUGGCAAGCGUUGUCCGGAAUUAUUGGGCGUAAAGCGCGCGCAGGCGGUUUCUUAAGUCUGAUGUGAAAGCCCCCGGCUCAACCGGGGAGGGUCAUUGGAAACUGGGGAACUUGAGUGCAGAAGAGGAGAGUGGAAUUCCACGUGUAGCGGUGAAAUGCGUAGAGAUGUGGAGGAACACCAGUGGCGAAGGCGACUCUCUGGUCUGUAACUGACGCUGAGGCGCGAAAGCGUGGGGAGCGAACAGGAUUAGAUACCCUGGUAGUCCACGCCGUAAACGAUGAGUGCUAAGUGUUAGAGGGUUUCCGCCCUUUAGUGCUGCAGCAAACGCAUUAAGCACUCCGCCUGGGGGAGUACGGGCGCAAGACUGAAACUCAAGGAAUGACGGGGGCCGCNCAAGCGGG
RNAcentral lists this ribosomal RNA (896 nucleotides) under Bacillus glycinifermentans. RNAcentral's name for it is "bacterial SSU rRNA". It matches the Rfam family "Bacterial small subunit ribosomal RNA", at positions 56 to 933 of the family's 1533-position model. Lineage: Bacteria; Bacillati; Bacillota; Bacilli; Caryophanales; Bacillaceae. The record is from RNAcentral.